UUAAGUUCAGCGGGUAUCCCUACCUGAUCCGAGGUCAACCUGGUAAUAAAUUGGUUAAGACUGAGCCCGAAAACCGCCGAGACGCAUGCUGAAGAGCUCGCUGCAUCCAGGGUCCACAAGACUCUGCCGUUUUCUUUAGGAUCCACCGUCGUCGCCGGCGGUGAGACCCAACAGCAAGCCGCGCUUGAGGGUUGAUAAUG
This 200-nucleotide unclassified non-coding RNA is filed under the name Verrucaria sp. RNAcentral describes it as "partial internal transcribed spacer 2". Lineage: Eukaryota; Fungi; Ascomycota; Eurotiomycetes; Verrucariales; Verrucariaceae. The record is from RNAcentral.